CCUACGGGAGGCAGCAGUGGGGAAUAUUGCACAAUGGGGGAAACCCUGAUGCAGCGACGCCGCGUGAGUGAGGACGUAUUUCGGUGUGUAAAGCUCUAUCAGCAGGGAAGAAAAUGACGGUACCUGACUCAGAAGCCACGGCUAACUACGUGCCAGCAGCCGCGGUAAUACGUAGGGGGCAAGCGUUAUCCGGAUUUACUGGGUGUAAAGGGAGCGUAGACGGAUUUUCAAGUCUGAUGUGAAAAUCCGGGGCUCAACCCUGGAACUGCAGUUGAUACUGUAUGUCUAGAGUGUCGGAGAGGCAAGUGGAAUUCCUGGUGUAGCGGUGAAAUGCGUAGAUAUCAGGAAGAACACCAGUGGCGAAGGCGGCUUGCUGGACUAUGACUGACGUUGAUGCUCGAAAGCGUGGGUAGCAAACAGGAUUAGAUACCCGAGUAGUC
Molecule: ribosomal RNA, 440 nt
Filed under: uncultured bacterium
Lineage: Bacteria
Description: partial 16S ribosomal RNA
Rfam family: Bacterial small subunit ribosomal RNA
Source: RNAcentral